UCGUCUGUAUUUCGCCGCAACGCGCGCGUUGAUAUAUUGUGAUUGGAAAGGGACGAAUAAGCAGAAGAAAGUAUCCUUCCUUUCCAUACGCAUAUAUUAUAUUUCUCGCUGUAUUCGAUAUCCUACAUUGACUUCCAGUACCAUUUUGGACGUACUUGACGCCAGCAAAUUAGUCUAGCAACACAGUCUCCACUUGCGCGCUGCAGCCUCAGCCAAGACGCGCAUUGGCGUCUUGGCCAUGCUGUAACGCCGCUAAGGCAGCCCUUGGCUCACCGGGCCACAUGCCGACUUACAUAUGCCGACUGUGUUUCUUUGUAUCU
RNAcentral lists this long non-coding RNA (320 nucleotides) under Volvox carteri. RNAcentral describes it as "long non-coding RNA (VCAR_LNC001716)". Lineage: Eukaryota; Viridiplantae; Chlorophyta; Chlorophyceae; Chlamydomonadales; Volvocaceae. The record is from RNAcentral.